GUCCCCACAAAUAGCUCAGCUGGUAGAGCACAAGACACUUAAUUUCAAGGUUGUGGGUUUGAACCCCAUGUCGGGCA
Non-coding RNA from Podarcis lilfordi (Lilford's wall lizard), 77 nucleotides. The record is from the annotation of a GenBank genome assembly. Lineage: Eukaryota; Metazoa; Chordata; Lepidosauria; Squamata; Lacertidae.